RNAcentral lists this ribosomal RNA (761 nucleotides) under uncultured fungus. RNAcentral's name for it is "eukaryotic LSU rRNA". It matches the Rfam family "Eukaryotic large subunit ribosomal RNA", at positions 30 to 821 of the family's 3401-position model. The record is from RNAcentral. Lineage: Eukaryota; Fungi.
GAACUUAAGCAUAUCAAUAAGCGGAGGAAAAGAAACCAACAGGGAUUGCCCCAGUAACGGCGAGUGAAGCGGCAACAGCUCAAAUUUGAAAUCUGGCCCCUCGGGCCCGAGUUGUAAUUUGCAGAGGAUGCUUUUGGUGAGGCGCCGCCUGAGUUCCCUGGAACGGGACGCCAUAGAGGGUGAGAGCCCCGUCUGGCUGGCCGCCGAGCCUCUGUAAAGCUCCUUCGACGAGUCGAGUAGUUUGGGAAUGCUGCUCUAAAUGGGAGGUAUAUGUCUUCUAAAGCUAAAUAUUGGCCAGAGACCGAUAGCGCACAAGUAGAGUGAUCGAAAGAUGAAAAGCACUUUGAAAAGAGGGUUAAAUAGUACGUGAAAUUGUUGAAAGGGAAGCGCUCAUGACCAGACUUGGGCCUGGCGAAUCAUCCGGCGUUCUCGCCGGUGCACUUCGCCAGGCUCAGGCCAGCAUCAGUUCGCCGCGGGGGAUAAAGGUUUCGGGAACGUGGCUCCUCCGGGAGUGUUAUAGCCCGUUGCGUAAUACCCUGCGGUGGACUGAGGUCCGCGCAUCUGCAAGGAUGCUGGCGUAAUGGUCAUCAGCGACCCGUCUUGAAACACGGACCAAGGAGUCGUCUUCGUAUGCGAGUGUUCGGGUGUCAAACCCCUACGCGUAAUGAAAGUGAACGCAGGUGAGAGCUUCGGCGCAUCAUCGACCGAUCCUGAUGUUCUCGGAUGGAUUUGAGUAAGAGCAUACGGGGCCGGACCCGAAA